CUUUACAUGAAGCCAAAGAUUCGAGCUUCACAUGAAACCCCUUCUUCCUUCUUCUCAAAACUCGAUCUCACUACUCCUCUCUGCUCUCACUCUCAGAUCUCAACUACACCUCCACUCUCUCAGCCUCAGGCCAUUCUCUUCAAUUUCCACCAACAAAGCCAAAUGGAACUCAACCACCAACGUGAUCAUCACCAACCCAACUCUGCUAAUCAUGGAGUCAUGCACCACCAUGCUCCAACUCAAACAAAUUCAAGCCCACAUGACCCGCACUGCCCUCAUCACUCACACUUUCCCUGUCAGCCAAGUCCUAGCAUUUUGCGCUUUAGCUGAUUCUGGUAACAUUCGAUAUGCCCGUGUGCUGUUUACUCAGAUUGAAAGACCCAAUACUUAUAUGUGGAACACUAUGAUCAGGGGCUACUGUAAAGCCAAAAUUCCCACCAUUGGGUUUUCAUUUUUUCGUCAAAUGGCUCGAGAAUGCGUCGAAAUGAUCGCCGGAGCUUUGUUUUUGCGCUCAAGGCGUGCGAGCAGUUUUGUACAGUUUUAGAGGGGGAAUCAGUUCACUGUUGGAUUUGGAAGAUGGGUUUUGAUUCGGAUUUGGUAGUGAGAAAUGGGUUGGUUCAAUUUUAUGCUGAAUGUGGGUGUUUGAAUUUUGCACGUGAAGUGUUUGAUCGAAGUUUUGAAAGAGAUGUUGUUACGUGGACCUCGAUGAUUGAUGGAUAUGUGGUGCAUAAUUGUUCGGAGGAGGCAUUGAAAUUGUUUAAUUCAAUGUUAAUGAGUGAUGUUGAGCCAAAUGAGGUUACCAUGAUUGCUGUACUUUCAGCGUGCUCCCUAAAAGGGGACUUAACUAUGGGAAAAAGUAUCCAUGAGUAUAUAAAAAAGAGGAACGUUAAUUAUAGCCUGAAUUUGCAAAACGCUAUGUUGGAUAAUAUGUAUGUAAAAUGUGGUUGCUUGGUUGCUGCUAGGGAGGUUUUUGAUGACAUGAAAAUUAGAGAUGUGUUUUCAUGGACUAUUAUGGUUAAUGGGUAUGCUAAGUUUGGUGAGUUAGAUUUAGCAAGGAAGUUUUUUGAUGCCAUGCCUGAAAAAAAUGUGGUCUCUUGGAAUGCAAUGAUUGCAGGUUAUUCUCAGAAUAAUCAACCAGAGGAAGCAUUGAAGUUGUUUCGUAACUUGGUGGGAGUUGGUUUGCAUCCAAUAGAGAACACAUUGGUCUGUGUGCUCUCUGCUUGUGGUCAACUGGGUUCUUUGGAUUUGGGUCAAUGGAUUCACCAUUUCUAUAUUAAUCAAAAGCUGAUUCAACCUAGUGUGAUCCUGGCAAAUGCAUUUAUUGACAUGUAUGCUAAAUGUGGGAGUAUUGAUGCAGCUGCAAUGAUUUUUAAUGAAACGGUGGAGAGAGAUUUGGUUUCUUGGAAUUCCAUGAUUGCUGGAUAUGCUUCUCAUGGACAUGCUACAAAAGCCCUUGUCCUUUUCAAUGAGAUGAUUAAUAUGGGAUUUAAGCCUGAUGAAAUCACAUUUGUGGGUGUCUUAUCGGCUUGCAGUCAUGGUGGUUUGGUUUCUGUAGGUCGAGAAUAUUUCAAAAGUAUGAAUAGAAAUUUUGGGAUAGAACCAAUGGUUGAACACUAUGCUUGCGUGAUUGAUUUAUUUGGUCGAGUGGGGCUACUAGAUGAAGCUUAUGAAUUAAUAACAAAAAUGCCCAUGGAAGCAAGUGUAGCUGCAUGGGGCGCCCUUCUUAAUGCUUGUAGAAUGCAUGGGAAUGUUGAGGUGGGUAAGCUUUCUGCCUUUAAGCUUUUAGACUUGGAUCCUGAAGAUAGUGGUAUCUAUUCAUUGCUUGCAAAUAUUUGUGCUCAUGAGAGAAGAUGGGUGAUGUAAGGAUGGUUAGAAGUAUGAUGAGCGAGAGAGGGGUUAAGAAAACUCCUGGUAGUAGUUUGAUAGAGGUAAAGGGUGAGUUUUAUGAAUUUUUGGUUGCUGAUGGAUCACACACUCAAUCCGAAGAUAUUUAUAGGGUAUUAAACGAAAUAUUUUUGCUGUCCAAAGUGGAAGACUCUGUUCCUGAUACUAAACUCAAUUCAUGAACUUUAACAUGUUUGAUGCAUUAUUUACAAAUUGAGUGACCGACUCGUCAAGAUGAGGGGUCAGGGUUGCAGAACAUGCAUGAACCAUGAAAUCAAGGAGAUAAGACACCAAAAUUUGAGCGACUGUCUUGGCUUAUAGACUUAUAGUGUAAACCAAGGUCCUCAACUUGACCCAUCUAGACUUCCUCUCAUUCUUCUCUGGUGGAAUUUCUGAUUCUCCCAAACCUAUCUCUUCAACUUCCC
RNA transcript from Quercus lobata, 2309 nucleotides. It is a transcript of the gene named pentatricopeptide repeat-containing protein At2g22410, mitochondrial-like, with no coding region annotated. The transcript has a single exon. Lineage: Eukaryota; Viridiplantae; Streptophyta; Magnoliopsida; Fagales; Fagaceae. The record is from RefSeq and is a predicted model, not a curated record.